CACGGGCUCAGCUUGGGUCUCUGUUGAUGACAGGUUGGGCAUUCAGCAGUGACAGUAGCUAGAUCAGCCUUGGGGAGAGGAAGCCAAGGCUGUUAGGGUUAUAUAUAACUUCGUCAUUGUCACCAUGGCACUCUGUUCAUGAGCCCAUAUGGUGCAAGGACUGGUUGGAGGAUGACGAGUGAGGACAGAGACUGGCUGACGUCCACUGGCCGAGUCAUCCUGCCCACUUGGUUGUUUGGUGUUGCUUCUGCAAUGGAUGCUCUUUGGGGCCUGAUUUGGAUAUAGGAGACCUCCCUUGAUGGAGAAUUCAGCCUUUACUCAAGUUCUGCUGCUUUUCCAAUGAGUCCUCUGCCUGAUUGUCACUCCAUCUGCCCUCUGGCUGCAGAAGGAGAAACUCCAGCCACCUCGGAGAGGCCCCAGGAGCAGGGGGCUUCUAGGCACCCAGCCCCCUACAGGCAGCACCCUGCAGCCUCCCCCACACCGCCGGCUCCUGCACACACAUGCCCCUCACUCUCCUGACACCCGGAUACAUCUGAGUGGAGAUCUCUGGGGUGCCGGCCCGGCCCUUCUUCCCUCUGUGGACAGUCCCUGUGGAGGAAAGGCCAUGACAGCCACAUUUGCUUUCCCCCUAAGGUGAGGCUGCGUGGAGGGAGGGCAGGGACUGGCUGCGGGGCUGUGUCAGAUGCAUGUUCCUAAAACUUCAAUCGGAGACACAUCAAGUGUUGUCAGUUUGUGUUGGUGCCGAGGCUGGAAGGAUGGUUAGAACCAUGGCCUGGGCAGGGGCUAUCGUGAGACAGUACCCCAUGUAAAGCAUGCUCACGGAGGAGGGAAAACCCAAGCUUCCCUAGGAGGGGAGGGGCAGGUGUACCGAGAGGUGGAGGCCAGGGAUGCUGAGAUGCCAGCAGGGAGCCAUGGGUGCAGUGAAUGCUCACUCUCCAUUGAAGCCACACUCCUGUGUGCUCUGAACAGCACCCUCUGUGGCUUAAUAUGAAUAGCUUCCUGCUACUUAAACCCAGCAUAAUCCACAAGGGACCAUCAAAGAUGGGACACUGUUGCACACUCUGAGUCACAUGCCACAGGGGCCCCUAGCACCCUGCAGCCACCUGGCCCUAUUCAGCCACCCCAACUCCCCCAACCAUCCGGCCACACACUGCACUUGCCCCACCAGGGACUGGUUCCAGGGACCCCCAUGGACAGGGGUUCUUCCAAUUCAACACCCAAACCACCUGCCUUUCUUUUUUGUGUGUGCAGAGGGUAACAGGGCGGGGGGUGUGGUUUAAAACAAAAGCAAAAACACCCAAACCACUCCUUAACAUCCACAAAAUAGCUAAUUCGCCAAACCUUUGUUUUUGUCAAUUUAUUUAGAAAAAAA
This 1372-nucleotide long non-coding RNA is filed under the name Homo sapiens (human). RNAcentral's name for it is "HSALNT0165074". Lineage: Eukaryota; Metazoa; Chordata; Mammalia; Primates; Hominidae. The record is from RNAcentral.